AUCCUGCUGCGUGGUUACAGUCGUUGUUGACGAUAAGAGGUCAAUCAAUACCUGUUGGCAGGCAGAGAGGGGGCGGAUACCAGCUCAACUGAGUUUACGUAACGGAGGAGGAUGAGGUGAUGCUGACAAAGACUUCAGGAUUUUACAACUCUGGAAAGGACAGUCCUGCAGUGUUUUGCCGGAGCCCUCUACAUUGGCUCGCCUGCUGCAUCGCAGCCUUAAGUCCAGAUAUUAACACAAUCUGGGCACUGAGAGAAGCAGUCUUCAUUGUAUGGAGGACGGGACCUGCCAAACAUUUUCCUCCAUAUCAUUGAGACCCACAGACAGUGACAGUCUAUCCCUACUGAACACACGGACAGGAGUUGCGGCUGCUGAGCUGCUUGUGUCACAGAGCAGGUCAGUGACUGAGGUGUGGCUGAAGUGAUUCUGAAUCGGAUGAUCCACUCAGACCUGAGCAGCACUGACAGCGUGGCUUAACGGCUCCAUCCUCUCCUCUUCCUCUGGACGAGGGGGGAUACAGUCCUGACAGCUGAUGGAUCACAGAGGGACUAAAGUGCAACCGCAGCCAAACAAGUCAAUCCAAUACCCAUGAUGCAUCUGAUCCUAUACGAAUAAAUCAUUAACUUGUUGCUGCCCUCAGGGAGCAGGUCCCUGCAUAUUUGUAACUCCACCUGUAUAUGAUAUUAAAUACAUGUACAAA
Sebastes umbrosus (honeycomb rockfish) is the source of this 700-nucleotide long non-coding RNA. RefSeq lists it as uncharacterized. Lineage: Eukaryota; Metazoa; Chordata; Actinopteri; Perciformes; Sebastidae. The record is from RefSeq and is a predicted model, not a curated record. The transcript is spliced from 3 exons.